UUUGCUGACGAGUGGCGGACGGGUGAGUAAUGUCUGGGAAACUGCCUGAUGGAGGGGGAUAACUACUGGAAACGGUGGCUAAUACCGCAUAACGUCGCAAGACCAAAGAGGGGGACCUUCGGGCCUCUUGCCAUCAGAUGUGCCCAGAUGGGAUUAGCUUGUUGGUGAGGUAACGGCUCACCAAGGCGACGAUCCCUAGCUGGUCUGAGAGGAUGACCAGCCACACUGGAACUGAGACACGGUCCAGACUCCUACGGGAGGCAGCAGUGGGGAAUAUUGCACAAUGGGCGCAAGCCUGAUGCAGCCAUGCCGCGUGUAUGAAGAAGGCCUUCGGGUUGUAAAGUACUU
This 348-nucleotide ribosomal RNA is filed under the name Salmonella enterica subsp. enterica serovar Stanley. RNAcentral's name for it is "bacterial SSU rRNA". It matches the Rfam family "Bacterial small subunit ribosomal RNA", at positions 84 to 435 of the family's 1533-position model. The record is from RNAcentral. Lineage: Bacteria; Pseudomonadati; Pseudomonadota; Gammaproteobacteria; Enterobacterales; Enterobacteriaceae.